RNAcentral lists this ribosomal RNA (2886 nucleotides) under Staphylococcus aureus. RNAcentral's name for it is "partial 23S ribosomal RNA". It matches the Rfam family "Bacterial large subunit ribosomal RNA". The record is from RNAcentral. Lineage: Bacteria; Bacillati; Bacillota; Bacilli; Caryophanales; Staphylococcaceae.
AGAUUAAGUUAUUAAGGGCGCACGGUGGAUGCCUUGGCACUAGAAGCCGAUGAAGGACGUUACUAACGACGAUAUGCUUUGGGGAGCUGUAAGUAAGCUUUGAUCCAGAGAUUUCCGAAUGGGGAAACCCAGCAUGAGUUAUGUCAUGUUAUCGAUAUGUGAAUACAUAGCAUAUCAGAAGGCACACCCGGAGAACUGAAACAUCUUAGUACCCGGAGGAAGAGAAAGAAAAUUCGAUCCCCUUAGUAGCGGCGAGCGAAACGGGAAGAGCCCAAACCAACAAGCUUGCUUGUUGGGGUUGUAGGACACUCUAUACGGAGUUACAAAGGACGACAUUAGACGAAUCAUCUGGAAAGAUGAAUCAAAGAAGGUAAUAAUCCUGUAGUCGAAAAUGUUGUCUCUCUUGAGUGGAUCCUGAGUACGACGGAGCACGUGAAAUUCCGUCGGAAUCUGGGAGGACCAUCUCCUAAGGCUAAAUACUCUCUAGUGACCGAUAGUGAACCAGUACCGUGAGGGAAAGGUGAAAAGCACCCCGGAAGGGGAGUGAAAUAGAACCUGAAACCGUGUGCUUACAAGUAGUCAGAGCCCGUUAAUGGGUGAUGGCGUGCCUUUUGUAGAAUGAACCGGCGAGUUACGAUUUGAUGCAAGGUUAAGCAGUAAAUGUGGAGCCGUAGCGAAAGCGAGUCUGAAUAGGGCGUUUAGUAUUUGGUCGUAGACCCGAAACCAGGUGAUCUACCCUUGGUCAGGUUGAAGUUCAGGUAACACUGAAUGGAGGACCGAACCGACUUACGUUGAAAAGUGAGCGGAUGAACUGAGGGUAGCGGAGAAAUUCCAAUCGAACCUGGAGAUAGCUGGUUCUCUCCGAAAUAGCUUUAGGGCUAGCCUCAAGUGAUGAUUAUUGGAGGUAGAGCACUGUUUGGACGAGGGGCCCCUCUCGGGUUACCGAAUUCAGACAAACUCCGAAUGCCAAUUAAUUUAACUUGGGAGUCAGAACAUGGGUGAUAAGGUCCGUGUUCGAAAGGGAAACAGCCCAGACCACCAGCUAAGGUCCCAAAAUAUAUGUUAAGUGGAAAAGGAUGUGGCGUUGCCCAGACAACUAGGAUGUUGGCUUAGAAGCAGCCAUCAUUUAAAGAGUGCGUAAUAGCUCACUAGUCGAGUGACACUGCGCCGAAAAUGUACCGGGGCUAAACAUAUUACCGAAGCUGUGGAUUGUCCUUUGGACAAUGGUAGGAGAGCGUUCUAAGGGCGUUGAAGCAUGAUCGUAAGAACAUGUGGAGCGCUUAGAAGUGAGAAUGCCGGUGUGAGUAGCGAAAGACGGGUGAGAAUCCCGUCCACCGAUUGACUAAGGUUUCCAGAGGAAGGCUCGUCCGCUCUGGGUUAGUCGGGUCCUAAGCUGAGGCCGACAGGCGUAGGCGAUGGAUAACAGGUUGAUAUUCCUGUACCACCUAUAAUCGUUUUAAUCGAUGGGGGGGACGCAGUAGGAUAGGCGAAGCGUGCGAUUGGAUUGCACGUCUAAGCAGUAAGGCUGAGUAUUAGGCAAAUCCGGUACUCGUUAAGGCUGAGCUGUGAUGGGGAGAAGACAUUGUGUCUUCGAGUCGUUGAUUUCACACUGCCGAGAAAAGCCUCUAGAUAGAAAAUAGGUGCCCGUACCGCAAACCGACACAGGUAGUCAAGAUGAGAAUUCUAAGGUGAGCGAGCGAACUCUCGUUAAGGAACUCGGCAAAAUGACCCCGUAACUUCGGGAGAAGGGGUGCUCUUUAGGGUUAACGCCCAGAAGAGCCGCAGUGAAUAGGCCCAAGCGACUGUUUAUCAAAAACACAGGUCUCUGCUAAACCGUAAGGUGAUGUAUAGGGGCUGACGCCUGCCCGGUGCUGGAAGGUUAAGAGGAGUGGUUAGCUUCUGCGAAGCUACGAAUCGAAGCCCCAGUAAACGGCGGCCGUAACUAUAACGGUCCUAAGGUAGCGAAAUUCCUUGUCGGGUAAGUUCCGACCCGCACGAAAGGCGUAACGAUUUGGGCACUGUCUCAACGAGAGACUCGGUGAAAUCAUAGUACCUGUGAAGAUGCAGGUUACCCGCGACAGGACGGAAAGACCCCGUGGAGCUUUACUGUAGCCUGAUAUUGAAAUUCGGCACAGCUUGUACAGGAUAGGUAGGAGCCUUUGAAACGUGAGCGCUAGCUUACGUGGAGGCGCUGGUGGGAUACUACCCUAGCUGUGUUGGCUUUCUAACCCGCACCACUUAUCGUGGUGGGAGACAGUGUCAGGCGGGCAGUUUGACUGGGGCGGUCGCCUCCUAAAAGGUAACGGAGGCGCUCAAAGGUUCCCUCAGAAUGGUUGGAAAUCAUUCAUAGAGUGUAAAGGCAUAAGGGAGCUUGACUGCGAGACCUACAAGUCGAGCAGGGUCGAAAGACGGACUUAGUGAUCCGGUGGUUCCGCAUGGAAGGGCCAUCGCUCAACGGAUAAAAGCUACCCCGGGGAUAACAGGCUUAUCUCCCCCGAGAGUUCACAUCGACGGGGAGGUUUGGCACCUCGAUGUCGGCUCAUCGCAUCCUGGGGCUGUAGUCGGUCCCAAGGGUUGGGCUGUUCGCCCAUUAAAGCGGUACGCGAGCUGGGUUCAGAACGUCGUGAGACAGUUCGGUCCCUAUCCGUCGUGGGCGUAGGAAAUUUGAGAGGAGCUGUCCUUAGUACGAGAGGACCGGGAUGGACAUACCUCUGGUGUACCAGUUGUCGUGCCAACGGCAUAGCUGGGUAGCUAUGUGUGGACGGGAUAAGUGCUGAAAGCAUCUAAGCAUGAAGCCCCCCUCAAGAUGAGAUUUCCCAACUUCGGUUAUAAGAUCCCUCAAAGAUGAUGAGGUUAAUAGGUUCGAGGUGGAAGCAUGGUGACAUG